RNAcentral lists this ribosomal RNA (365 nucleotides) under uncultured bacterium. RNAcentral's name for it is "partial 16S ribosomal RNA". It matches the Rfam family "Bacterial small subunit ribosomal RNA", at positions 338 to 700 of the family's 1533-position model. The record is from RNAcentral.
CCUACGGGAGGCAGCAGUGAGGAAUAUUGGUCAAUGGACGAGAGUCUGAACCAGCCAAGUAGCGUGAAGGAUGACUGCCCUAUGGGUUGUAAACUUCUUUUAUAAAGGAAUAAAGUGAGGCACGUGUGCCUUUUUGUAUGUACUUUAUGAAUAAGGAUAGGCUAACUCCGUGCCAGCAGCCGCGGUAAGACGGAGGAUCCGAGCGUUGUCCGGAUUUGUUGGGUUUAAAGGGAGCGUAGAGGGGUUGUGAAGUCAGUUGUGACAGUUUGCGGCUCAACCGUAAAAUUGCAAUUGAUCCUGGCAGUCUUUAGUACAGUUGAGGUAGGCUGAAUUCGUGUUGUAGCGGUGAAAUGCUUAGCUCUCAC